This 1947-nucleotide ribosomal RNA is filed under the name Triticum aestivum (bread wheat). RNAcentral describes it as "partial small subunit ribosomal RNA". The record is from RNAcentral. Lineage: Eukaryota; Viridiplantae; Streptophyta; Magnoliopsida; Poales; Poaceae.
UAUUAGAAACACACCGCCCGCUAGCACAGCUGCCGUCCCCAGUCGUCCAUCCCACGAGAGCCACCCACCACCGCCCAGCCCCACCCCCCUCUCCGUCUGGACCCCAUAUGUCGACGCCAGCAACCUGCGCACCGUCGCCAGCCAACUGACCGCCGGCGCCGCCCUCGACCAAGCCGUUGCGCACGCCACCUGCCCCAACCCCACCGCGUGCCGCCGGUGGCAACCUUCCCGUGCCCUCGCCGAUAGCCACAAGCCCACAAGCAUCUGUAAUUGUGGAUCUACCUUCCCCAACACCGAUCUGUACCCCGUGAUUCGACUUCCCGCCGCCGGCUAGCCUGCUUCAGUGCCACCGGGCAAGCCCACGGAGCAGCGCUCGCCCAACGCCCUGACAGUGGCCAGCGACGCAUGUGUCCGUGGCCCCACCCAUCACAACCGACCAGACUACUUCUUCCUCCUUCAUCUGAAAACGAUGAUAUGGAGGAGCCCACGACGGUGUCCCGUUUCUUCUCUGGUCAAGCUCUUCUUUUAUUUUGAAUAAGGCUUUUGUCAAGUUCCUGUACUCUUCUUGCAUCGUGAGUGUGGCAUCGCCCAGUCUAUGAAAAUUUUCUCAACAUGGUAGUGGUACAAAGAUAAAUGGUGCGAUGCAAAGCAGCUGGUGGAUUCUGGGGGAUGCCAUCGUCGCACUAGGUUUCAGAAGCUGCCUCUUCACCAUCCCUGCAAUCUUUUGCCUAUUUGGAACACAAAUACGAGAGUACAUUUGUUCUGGGAUGGGGUGAAUUUAUUGGAGGAGACUACCAGUAAGUACUAUUUUUUCUUAAUCCCUGAUUAUUUCACUGAAAUUAGCCUCGCCGUGCAUUUGUGCGGUCGUGCAUCACUUUCAUUGGAGAUCUUGCAACUUUCACUCAUUGGCGAUCUUAAUGGAAUUGCUUUGAACCAAAAUGUUCAUAGUAAAGUCUAUUCUCCCAUUUAAAUUUCUUCGAGGAAUCAAGAAUGCCAAGUACAUCACAACUUCUAAUUGUUGCUCCGAAUGAAACAGAUAAAAUCAUCUGAGUAGGGAUUUCUAGACAAGGUACAACCUACAUGUAGAAGCUUCUCAAAGAAGUUAUCAUGCCAGUAUACAUAAAUAAAAUUUAGUUUUGCUUAUGUACAUUACUGCUUCCUUAGCAAUUAAAAGAACUAUAUCAAUGUACGAUAUUCAUGAUUGUUGGAGUUCUGGGAACGGGGGUCCCAAGACUUGCCUGCCUGCGGCCCAUGGCGAGGCUCUGUUAGAGGGCCCGUACAACCCAUCUUCACCAACAAGCACUCAAGACCAUUGCGAGGGGCCAAGCCUCGCGAGGCGGACGGCGCAAGACCCCUUCGGGAGCGGCCUCACCAGGUUGGCUCGCGAGGGGCGGAGAGAUCAAGGCAAGGCAAACCUCGCGAGGUUCUCGUGAUGUGAGCCAUGACGACCGAGACCAGGCGGGCGCCAGCGCACACAGUAUCCUUGUUUCCUCUUUGGUGCUAAGGAGGCAAGCGCAAGCGCAGAGUACCGAGGCGUCAAGCAAAGGUUUCCAUAUCAGUGCAACAAGACCAAGACCGGCAAGACGGAGGUCACGAUGGAGCCCAAGGCGGCGUCACCACCAGAGCCUUUUGGAGGCGAAGACUGCUUUUGUCAGGAUAAGUUGUACUAGCUGUCCCCUUUCAAAUUGGCCGUUGUUGGCUCCCUUCCCGCUCAAUAUUUGGGGAGAGGACCAGGGCCUAUAUAAAUAGGACUAGCCACCACCGUAGGAGACAACUCAUUCGGAGCCAUCUCAUCUCAUCUUGAGUAAUCCUCACCCACACAAGUUCACCGAGCAUAAGAACACCUCGCCUCAGGAGGCUGUUCUUCCCCUUGUACUGUUUAUCCUCGGCCCAAGAGGCAAUCCACCAGCACCACACUGGAGUAGGCUAUUACACCACAACGGUGGC